AACGAACGCUGGCGGCAUGCCUAACACAUGCAAGUCGAACGAGACCUUCGGGUCUAGUGGCGCACGGGUGCGUAACGCGUGGGAACCUGCCCUUAGGUUCGGAAUAACUCCCCGAAAGGGGUGCUAAUACCGGAUAAUGUCUUCGGACCAAAGAUUUAUCGCCUUUGGAUGGGCCCGCGUUGGAUUAGCUAGUUGGUAGGGUACAAGCCUACCAAGGCGACGAUCCAUAGCUGGUCUGAGAGGAUGAUCAGCCACACUGGGACUGAGACACGGCCCAGACUCCUACGGGAAGCAGCAGUAGGGAAUAUUGGACAAGGGGCGAAAGCCUGAUCCAGCAAUGCCGCGUGAGUGAUGAAGGCCUUAGGGUUGUAAAGCUCUUUUACCCGGGAUGAUAAUGACAGUACCGGGAGAAUAAGCUCCGGCUAACUACGUG
RNAcentral lists this ribosomal RNA (433 nucleotides) under uncultured bacterium. RNAcentral describes it as "partial 16S ribosomal RNA". It matches the Rfam family "Bacterial small subunit ribosomal RNA", at positions 29 to 507 of the family's 1533-position model. The record is from RNAcentral.